This 499-nucleotide ribosomal RNA is filed under the name uncultured bacterium. RNAcentral's name for it is "partial 16S ribosomal RNA". It matches the Rfam family "Bacterial small subunit ribosomal RNA", at positions 30 to 523 of the family's 1533-position model. The record is from RNAcentral.
AUUGAACGCUGGCGGCAUGCUUUACACAUGCAAGUCGAACGGUAACAGGGUGCUUGCACCGCUGACGAGUGGCGAACGGGUGAGUAAUGCGUCGGAACGUGCCGAGUAGUGGGGGAUAACGCAGCGAAAGUUGUGCUAAUACCGCAUACGUACUGAGGUAGAAAGUGGGGGACCUUCGGGCCUCACGCUAUUCGAGCGGCCGACGUCUGAUUAGCUAGUAGGUGAGGUAAAGGCUCACCUAGGCGACGAUCAGUAGCGGGUCUGAGAGGAUGUUCCGCCACACUGGGACUGAGACACGGCCCAGACUCCUACGGGAGGAAGCAGUGGGGAAUUUUGGACAAUGGGCGAAUGCCUGAUCCAGCCAUGCCGCGUGUCUGAAGAAGGCCUUCGGGUUGUAAAGGACUUUUGUCAGGGAGGAAAUCCCUAGUGCUAAUAACACUGGGGGAUGACAGUACCUGAAGAAUAGCACCGGCUAACUACGUGCCAGCCGCCGCCGUAA